This 408-nucleotide ribosomal RNA is filed under the name uncultured Cryomonadida. RNAcentral describes it as "partial small subunit ribosomal RNA". It matches the Rfam family "Eukaryotic small subunit ribosomal RNA", at positions 30 to 432 of the family's 1831-position model. Lineage: Eukaryota; Cercozoa; Thecofilosea. The record is from RNAcentral.
GCUUGUCUCAAAGAUUAAGCCAUGCAUGUCUAAGUAUAAACAACUUUAUACUGUAAAACUGCGAACGGCUCAUUAUAUCAGCAAUAAUUUAUUUGAUGGUUUCUUACCCCAUGGAUAACUGUGGUAAUUCUAGAGCUAAUACAUGCGUAAAGUCCCGACUCUUUCUGGGGAGGGAUGUAUUUAUUAGAUAAAAAACCAAUGCGGGUUCUGCCCGGUUUUGUGUUGAAUCAUAGUAACUAAUCGGAUCGCAUGGGCUAGUCCCGCGACAAACCAUUCAAGUUUCUGCCCCAUCAGCUUUCGACGGUAGUGUAUUGGACUACCGUGGCUUUUACGGGUAACGGAGGAUUAGGGUUCGAUUCCGGAGAGGGAGCCUGAGAAACGGCUACCACAUCCAAGGAAGGCAGCAGG